GGGGUCGCUCAUGUUCAUUUCCACCAGUCCAGUCGUUUUCCUCUCUGCCAGGCAGUGCUCCAGCCUCCAGGCGGCGGCGAGUUUGAGAGUGAGAAGGGAGGAGAGAGGCCCCAACGAAGAUGGUGUGCCUACUCUACCAUUGAUAUUGCGAGAAUGACGACCAGCAGAGCUUUGGCAUAUUCAUCCGCGGCGGCUCUGAAGAUUUAGCGAACAUCCCAUGCAACUCGAGGGGUUUGACUUGGUGUUAGUAGAGCAUCCCAUGCAACGACCCCGGGUUCGACUCGAGGACGCGCGGGGGGGGGGGGGGG
Triticum aestivum (bread wheat) is the source of this 308-nucleotide long non-coding RNA. RefSeq lists it as uncharacterized. The transcript has 3 exons. NCBI's taxonomy places the organism in Eukaryota, Viridiplantae, Streptophyta, Magnoliopsida, Poales, Poaceae. The record is from RefSeq and is a predicted model, not a curated record.